GACGUACCACCCAAACGUUAUUCGGAUUCACUGGGCUUACAGAGUCCGUAGGCGGUCGAGCAAGUUGGAUGUGAAAUACCUCAGCUCAACUGAGGAAUUGCGUUCAAAACUACUUGGCUAGAGAGAUACAGAGGUGAGCGGAACUGAUGGUGGAGCGGUGAAAUGCUUAGAUAUCGUCAAGAACACCGAUAGCGAAGGCAGCUUACUAGGCUGUAACUGACGCUGAGGCACGAAAGUGUGGGGAUCAAACAGG
This 253-nucleotide ribosomal RNA is filed under the name uncultured bacterium. RNAcentral's name for it is "partial 16S ribosomal RNA". It matches the Rfam family "Bacterial small subunit ribosomal RNA", at positions 524 to 776 of the family's 1533-position model. The record is from RNAcentral.